Molecule: long non-coding RNA, 4239 nt
Filed under: Canis lupus familiaris (dog)
Lineage: Eukaryota; Metazoa; Chordata; Mammalia; Carnivora; Canidae
Description: lncRNA (ENSCAFG00000054931.1, ENSCAFG00805021776.1, ENSCAFG00845017276.1)
Source: RNAcentral
UUUUAAUAAGAUUCUAUCUAUAAGUAUGAUAUUUAGAAUCACCAGAUUAAUGGAAAUUUGGUAUUAUUGCCUAUCAUGUUUAUCAGUCUGUCAUAACAUAUUUUGUCAGAAAUAAACAAAAAGCAAACGAGAAACACUGCCUGAGACAAGAUUCACAAAGUAUCAGUACCCACUUUCCUAUAAAGUUUUUCUCUCUGUUCUUAGUGAAAACAAUUGCUUGAUGUAAUUGAUAGCCAUAAAACAAUUUCGGUCUUGAACACUUGUGUGAUAAAUAGCUUAUUUAUUAUGGGAUUUUUUUCUAUUAGGAAAUAUGGAAGAGGACAGUAUAAUAUCAAGAACACUAAGAUACCUAAUUAAAAUCUGAUUAUGAAACCUUUUGGCUUAUUCAUGAUUAUCUCAACCUUCAUGUUUAUCUCUAGGACAAAUCUGCAGUAUGUAAAAAGAGAAAAAAGUGUGUUACACUUAUUUAUAGCCAAACUUAAACGUUAAAAUACCACAUUUUCUUUUCUGGUCAAGUUUCAUGUUUUAUAGUUCUUUCUUGCCAUUAACAUUAAAAUAUGUAAAUGGAAUACUUUUGCAUCCUGAAGCCUGGAAAAAGGUUUUUGCUUCACACUAGUUAAUCAGACUGCUGCUGUAGUCACAGGAGAAGGAACCGAGAUGACCACUAUAUACAGCACAGUUGAAACUGGAGGACAAAUAAUUACCCCUGUUUUUUUUUUUUUAAGUAUAUUACUACUACCAGCUAUUCUCUUUUUAAAAAAGAUUUAUUUAUUUGAGAGAGUGUAGGAAUUGCCGAGGGAGAGCAAGAGGGAGAAAGUGAAUCUCAAGCAGACUCCUUGCUGAGUGUGGGGCCAGGAUCUCAGACCUAAGAUCAUGACCUGAACCUAAAUCAAGAGUCAGUUGCUCAACCAACUAAGCUGCACAGGCACUGUGGUAUUCUCUUUUAAAUAUACCCUAAGAUAUCCUUUUCCACCUAAUCUGUAGACUCAUUAGUUGAAACUUAAUGUGAAUUUUAACUUACAGCAAGAAUCAGUCUCAUAUAACUUAGUAUUUUCCAUGUUGAGUAAGUGAAAUCAAUUCCACUUGUAGAACACGUUUAUAUUAUCAACAUAAGACAACCAAGAACUUGAUUUUCAUAUUUCUCCUUCUAUAUUAAUAUUAAUUUAUUUUUUAAAAGAAAAGCCUGCCAGCCUUUAGUGAAGGAAUUUCAUUGAUAGUUAUUUUUUUAAUACCCAAAAUGAACCUUUAUUAGGUGCAUUAAUUUGAAAUUCAGGAACCUUUGAAUUGUGGCUCCUCCUUGAAGUAUUUAAACAUUUGUGAGUUUUCGAUCUUAAGCACAUUUCAUUAUGAAAUUGUGUGCCUUUCAUAGCUAGACGGUAGCAGAAAACAGAGUUUUGGUUGGUAGAAAAAUGAAAUUGACCAGCUUAAGGAGAGGAAGUAAGGUGAUGCAGUUACCCACAUUAGCCUGGUUGAUGUGCCUGCCUUGAACCAACCUACCUGACCAACCUUCUUAUUUGAUCUUUUUUUUGUCUUUUUUUUUCCUCUUUGCUCUUCCACUUCACUGUUAACUCUUUCCUUUGCUCUUCUGCUAUUUCCUAUCCUCCACUUUCUUCCUUAUUUGAGACAAGAGCUUUUUUCUUUGUUGUAUACUCAACCUAUACACUUUAAAAAAUAAAAAUACAUGUCAAAAAAACUUUAACAAACUGACUUUCAUUUUUAAAGUAGAUAAUUGAGAGUUUUAUAAUUGUAGAAAACCAGAGAAACAAUUUCCAAUUGGAUGGGAUAUUAAAGAUCUAGUUCAAAUACCAAGAAAUUUAGAGGCACUUGGGUGGAUCUGUUGAAUAAGAACCUGACUCUUGGUUUCAGCUCAGGUCAUGAUCUUAGGGUCCUGGGAUUGAGCCCCACAUCAGGCUCCACACUUAGUGGGGAGUCUGCUUAAGGAUUCUCUCUCUCCCUUCUCCCUCAGUGCCUCCCUCCCCACUCAUGUGCAUGCAUGUGUGCUCUCUUGCUCUCUAAAAUAAAUAAUCUUUUUUGGGGGGAUGCCUGGGUGACUCAGCGUUGUUGAGCAUCUGCCUUUGGCUCAGGGCAUGAUCCUGGAGUCCUGGGAUCGAAUCCCACAUCGGGCUUCCUGCAUGGAGCCUGCUUCUCCCUCUGUCUAUGUCUCUGCCUCUCUCUGUGUGUCUCUCAUGAAUAAAUAAAUUCUAAAAAUCUUUAAAAAAUAAUUUAAAAAUAAUCUUUUAAAAAAUACCAAGAAAUUUAAUGUUUAUUACAUAUUGUCAAAAUUUAUUUUUUUAUUGUUUCUCUGUUACAGUAAGAGAUUAAAGUUUUUGGUCAUGCCACUUCCUUUCCCCAUUUCCCACAAUAAUUUCAAUGCAUAUGUCAUUCAAAUAUUUUCUUCCUCCUGCUUUUCUCUCACAACUGUUUAAAUCAUCAAAAGUACAUAACACUUGAGAUGCCUAGCUGGGUCAGUCAUAGAGCCAGCUAUGAGUCGUAGAGCAUAUGACUCUUGAUCUUGAGGUUGUAAGUUCCAGCCCCAUACUGGGUGUAGAGAUUACUUAAAAAUAAAAUCUUAAAAAAAAAAAGUACCUGAAGACCAGGAGAUUUUAAGUUCAAAGGUUUUUUUCCUAAUUUCUUAUUUCUCUUUUUCAAGUUUAUUACAUUUGUAGAUUUAUUGCAAAUAUCUUAUGCAAAAGAGGAAAGUAUAGAGAGGAAUUCCACUAUCUAGAUGUAACUUAUAAUACUCUGGUUUCUUUUCAGAUCCCAUAAAUCUUUCUAGAUGUAAUCUGUUAGCUGUUUUGCUUUGUUCUCCAAUAUUUAAAACCAUUUGUUGAUCAAAUUAGCAGUAAACACGCACAUACACAGACUACAGGAGAUAUUCAGUGUUGGCGGGAGCAUAAGGAGUUAAAAGGUAAAAGGCACACAAUCUGGAGGAAAAGCAUUUACACAGAUAUGAAAGCCUUAAGUUUGAUAUCCUUCAGAUAUCAAGAUCUAAUGCAUAAUAAUCAAGAAAUCACAAAGUGUCAGCAUCCUAGUAUUGUGUAUCAGCUAUGGUUGCUGAUUGUCGAGCUCCGAGAAGGUAGAGGUAAGUGCUAGACGGUGUGGAGAGGAAGCACAUAAAAACAGGGGGAAAGUGACAACGAAGGAAGGGAAAACUGUGGGUAUGUGGUCUUUGGAGACCAUUUAGUGCGGAGCAGAUAGUCACCCACUCAGCUUUUGUGUAAGUAUUGCAUUAUAUGAUAAUCAAUGUUUCUAAUGACUCUGAGUCUGCAAGAUGUAGGGUUCCUGUGCAAUUAUGUGCAAAUAAGGUUUUUUUGUAAAAAUGUAUAAAAAUAUUUUGGUGCAAGAACACUAGAUAGGCAACUUCUUUCCUUGAUUUCCUGGAUAAAUGAGGUGUCAUCUUCAGGCAAUAGUUGAAAAUACCCUAUAAUAUCCACAUACAUUUGCUAUGAGUCCUCUCUGUAGUCAGACUUUUUAAGAUUGCUGGAAAAUAUAUAAUUUCUGUUCACUGAAACAAUAGAAUAAAGAAAAUGUACUUGUGUACUUUGUGGUGGAUGGCCAGUUAAUGUCAUUUGAAGCAUAAGAUAUGUUUAUCACUGAAAGCUGAAAUUAGCCCCAGAACUAGUGGGCUGUGUUUGACACUUUAAAGAUAUAAACUCAAUGAGGAACAUAAUUAGGGAUAACAGGCUUUUAUGCUUGACGGGGGUAGGCGGCACACUUACUUAACAUACUUUGCCUAAUAUUACUGUCUUGACAGACUCUCCAAAUAGCAUUCCCCCCCGCCCCCAUGGCAACAUGUGCCCCUGUAUGUCUGGUACUUAAUAUGAACAAGAUUUUUUUUUUUUUUAUGGUUGAAUGCAGUUAAAUGAUGAGACUCUGGUGGUACGGUGAAAGUGACAUAUGCUUUGUACGUAACAAGUAUGAAUAUUAUAACUUAUCUGAAACAGUUCAUUUACACCUCAGUCAAAAAAAAAAUCUAAAUUUUUAUUAGCUGGGAGUUCACCGUCUUGAGCUUCCUCACAAUUCAGUGCAGUGUUGUGAUGAAUACUUUCUCUGAGUGCCUUGUUUUAAAAUUUUGUGUUUGUAAUAUCCUGAAAGGAGAGCUUCCAAAUUAUAUUUUCGUAUCUAGUCCCUGUAAAAUUUUAAAUUUAGCCAAAGAGAUGAAUAAGCUUUGUUACAGAAUGUUUAAUAAACAAAGCCUAAGUAAAAUGAUAGAAACACAAUAAACUUGAAAUGUUCUUU